Molecule: ribosomal RNA, 51 nt
Filed under: Scheffersomyces stipitis
Lineage: Eukaryota; Fungi; Ascomycota; Pichiomycetes; Serinales; Debaryomycetaceae
Also listed under: 15 other names
Description: partial 26S ribosomal RNA
Source: RNAcentral
UUUGACCUCAAAUCAGGUAGGAUUACCCGCUGAACUUAAGCAUAUCAAUAA